CACAUACUAUAACAGUUAGCCAACUAACUGCUGCGGGAAGCUGGAACAGGGAAGGAUAUUUUUUUUUUUUGCAAACCUAUUCAGUGUUUUAGGUACUUUUAUUGUAAAGGAAAGCAAGAGAAGGAAACACACAUUAACACAAUAUAAAUUAACUUUAAAAUAUCAGCAUGUAUGGUUGGUUGGGUAACAACUACCGUGUGAUCCAACACAAGACACUUAUCAAACAAGCAUCUGAUAUCGAAAGAGUUUGAAAAAAGGGAAAUUACUCCCUCUGUCCUCUAAUAGUCUGAUUAAAGGCCCCGUUAGGAAGUUAAUAUUUUAAAGGAAAAUAUUAUAUACUAGGGAUUGUGAUAUAUAGUUCCUUGAUUUCAAAUUCAACUGUCUUGGGACAUUGCAAGGAAAAGUUGGACUAUUACGAAAAAAGUAACAAAAAAAAUCACUCGGCAAACAAACAAGCAAAAAGAUUUGACUUUCAAUAUAGAGUACUAGCCAUCAGACCCAUCUCCGCAGUUGGUGCACAAAUUAUGCUUCCAAAGAGUAAUUUUCAUCAAAACCCACAAUAUUAGAGUAAAAUCAAAGUGCAUUUUCCAAGGAGUUAUGAAUUUAAAACAACAACUACUAUUGGUUACCACAGAAAAUUAUACAAUCUACAACAACCACCACUAAACAUAUUAUCACAAAAACAUCAAUCAAUCAUGCAUAACCCAGAUAAAUUCCAUGUCAAGAAAACCUAAUUAAUAUUUAGCUCAACAUUCCAUCAAAGACAGAAGCUAUGCAACAUAGAUGACAUAUUCAAUUGUAGAGUUUUGGUGUAAACCCACUUUCAAUCGAUAUUGGGUUUCAAGCGAUUCAAAAAUUAAAUCAAAAUUUAAUUUAUACUGAAUUUAUUUUGGUCAAAAGUCCAACCCAGGAAGAUAGAGAGAGAAAUUCACCAGGGAACCCAAGAGGGGUGAAGAAAUCAAGAUUUUCAACCAAAGUUGUUCAAUUUUCCGUGAGGAGGAGAGAGAAACUCAAAAGGGUAGGCCAAAAACCAGAAGUAGCGUUAGAUGGCUACGAAGAAGAUAUGCUCGAGAUCUCUGAUCCCAAUUGUCAGAUCCGCUCCAAAACAUUCCAACUCUCCAACCUCUAGACACCAUUUUCCAUCUCUAAUCCACGAUCCUCCUCCGUCUCUUCAGCAAACAUUAAGAAGAAGAAGAUGAUCUUGAUAUCUUUUUGGGUUUAUAGCAAAAGAUAAAAGUUACGUAAUUAUAAUUAAG
This 1256-nucleotide long non-coding RNA is filed under the name Panax ginseng (ginseng). RNAcentral's name for it is "long non-coding RNA (PGIN_LNC009713)". Lineage: Eukaryota; Viridiplantae; Streptophyta; Magnoliopsida; Apiales; Araliaceae. The record is from RNAcentral.